UUUUUUGUCUUUUUAGGGCCUCACCUGUGGCAUAUGGAUGUUCCCAGGCUAGGGACUGAACCAGAGGUACAGCUGCCAGCCUACGCCAAGCUGCAGACACGCAGGAUCUGAGCCUCAUCCGUGACCUACACCACAGCUCACAGCAAUGCCGGAUCCCCUGCCUGCUGAGCAAGGCCAGGGAUCAAACCCACUUCCUUAUGGAUAUGAGUCGGGUUCGUUACCGCUGACCCAUGAUGGGAACUCCCUGCCUGUCGGUUCUGCCACGACUUAGGGCUCUCAGAAGGAAGGCUGGCAAGGCUGGGAAAAGAGGGGAAAACCACAAAGGUUAUGGCUGGUCAGGGUGGAGCAGGUGGUGAGGAAGUGGCCCUGGUGGAUUUAUGUGGAGGCAGAUUGCCCAGUUCCCUGGACUGACAGGUUGCUGGGAAGAAGACGGGAGAGGUGCUGGCCUCCUCAGGCCCCAAGGCUAGGGUUACAUGAUGACCCCCACUCGGGGCCCCUUGGACUGGGGGGUGGAGGCUAAGGCUGGGUUUUGGCCCUCCGCCCCUGCAUACACCUAAUAGAGGGCUCUGGCCUCUUUAACCAAUCAAUAUUUAUGCAGCAUUGAAAAGGCAGCUGAGGAGUUCCCUUUGUGGCUCAGUGGUUAACAAACCCGACUCGGAUCCGUGAGGACACGGGUUCGAUCCCUGGCCCUGCUCGCUGGGUUAAGGAUCAGUGUUGCUGUGAGCUGUGGUGUAGGUGCAGAUGGAGCUCAGAUCCCGUGUGACUGUGGCUGUGAUGAAGGCCGGCAGCUGCAGCUCUGAUUCGACCCCUAGCCCGGGAAUCUCCAUAUCCUGCGGGUGUGGCCCUAAAAAGACAAAAAAAGAAAAAUAAAAAAAGAAAGAAAAGGCAGCUGACUAGGAAACAGGGCCCUGCAGGUGGCAGGGCUGUGCUCAAGGGUCUGGAACACAGACCCCUGGGCUUUCCCCUCACUCUGCAGAAGAGAGAGGUGUUGGGGCAUCAGGACUGGUUGCCCAGACUCUGGGCCCCUGGGUUCUCUGAUGGGUCUGUUCAAAAAAUCUAGGCCCAAACUCAGGAAAGAAGGGCCCAGUGGACACAAGCCCGCGCGUCCUCUUUGCAGGAGGGCACCCUGAAUGAAGGCCACCUUCUCCCCCUGCCCUUCCUCUGCCUCCUUCGGGCAAGGGCCCGCUCCUUUGUUUUCAUCAUGAAACUGAGGGUCAGAGGAAAGAGAGGGACUGAGUCCAGAGCGGGGUGAUGUGGGGCAAAGAGCAAGACACCAAGUCAGACGGGGGCAUUCACUAUCAGCUCUCGCAUGUGCCAAACAGCAGGACCCUGGGCCGAUGUUACUACCUGAACCCUCAGUGAUCCUCAUUUGCAAAACGGGCACAGUCCACCCUAAGCCCCACAGAGACGUUCCCUCAGUGACCUGACUUCCUGUGCCCAAGACCCCAGAGGGGCUCCCGCAGUGGACACUCUGCCCCAGGGCACCUGCUCCUUCCCUGCCCAGGUGGCUUUCACUUCUGCCCUCUCUAAGCCAAGUCGGCCCUUUGUGGGGCAAGACAGCAGGGGCCAGGCUAUGCUCCAAAAUAGUAGUGCCCACCAAAGUAUAAUGCCAGUCCCUAAGGAAUUUCAUAUGAAAAGCAGCCACAAGAAUAAAAAGAAAGAUGAUAUCGAUUUUAACAAUAUAGUAUUUUAUGUAACCAAACGUAUCCAACACAUCACCUCAACACACUAAAUAUAAAACAUACAAAAUCCAUAUUAAAAAUGAAUGAGUGGAGUUCCUGUUGUGGCUCAGUGGUAAUGAGCCUGACUAGUAUCCAUUAGAUAGUGGAUUCGAUCCCUGGCCUCAUUCAGUGGGUUAAGGAUUCGCUGUUGCUGUGAGCUGUGGUGCAGGUCACAGAUGUGGCUCCCCAUGUGGCUGUGGCUGUGGCGCAGGCCGGCAGCUACAGCUGUGAUUCAACCCCUAGCCUGGGAACUUCCAUAUGCUAUGGGUGCAGCCCUCAAAAAAGUUAAAAAAAGAAUGACUGAGCAAUCAACUAUAAUAAAUUUUUUAAUAAACUCUAAUAAAACACAUUUUAAAUGAGUGAGCUACCGUCAAUUCUUUUGUUCAUGCAGUCUUCUAAGCCUACCAUGUAUUUUUAGUUAGAACACAGCCCAAUUCAGACCAAGCCCCAUUUUCAGGGCUCCACAGUCAUGUGUGGCUAACAGCUACCAUAUUGGAAAGAGCAGAAUGGACGUUUCCAUUAUGGCAGAAAGUUCUACUGGACCGCGCAGCUGUCCUCCUUCAUUAAAUCCUGGGAGUUUCAGGCCCUUGGAGCUGGGGAGUGGCCUGGGUGGGGCUCCUCAUUCUGAAUUACCAAGGGGCUGAUUUCUCGGACAGCUGGGGGCAGACAGGAAAUACCUGUUUGUCUGCCUAUGAGAAAGCACCCCCCCCUUCUUCCUCAAGCUUGGGCAGGGCUGGGGGGUUUCCAUGACACCUGCAGAACCCAAAGCACUGUCCCCCAGGGAGCUGAAGCAACACCCAGACCACAGAAGAGAAAAAUCCAGCUUGGGGGGAUCAGGGGGGAGGGGGGAACCCAGAAGAUAAAGCCUGGCCCUCAGCAGGGCUCUGGGCAGCGUCUUAGCCAGAGAGACACCAAAGUUAGCGACUGCCCAGCAGAGGUCUAACCCAGGGGCUCCCAGCCGCGAGCCCCGAGACUGCCGCCUCUAGAGGAGACAGAUCUGGCUCCAGGUAUAUAGUCAAAUACCAAGUAGCUGUUAAAACUCUCAAUAUGCACAGCUUUUCUAAUAAAAACAUGCUUUGUUAAACCACCACACAAAGCUAGAAUUUUGUACCUAUACUACUUUCUAUCAUUGCAGCCAAGUCGGGUAAGUGUUAUUCCUUUGCUACAGCAUAUGGAGAUUCCCGGGCUAGGGGGUUGAAUCAGAGCUACAGCUGCCAGUCUACACCACAGCCACAGCAAUAUGGGGGGGCCGCAUCUGCGACCUACACCACAGCUUACCGCAAUGCUAGAUCCUUAACCUACUGAUCGAGGCCAGGGAUUGAACCUACAUCCUCGUGGAUACUAGUCAGGUUUGUUACUACUGUGCCAUGAUGGGAACUCCCCCAAAGUCAAAUUAACUUGCCCAAGAUGGCCCUGCCAGCAAGGGCCAAGGCCACACUGAGCCAAAGCCCACCAAACCCCAGGCUCCAAAUGUAUUACUAUUCCACUGCUUCCCAGUGUGUUUUAUGAGGGGGGGGGGCUAUUAUAUCAUCAAAAAGGAUCUUUGUGAUCUUUGUGGAGUUUCCACUUUGGUACAGUGGGUUAGUGAUCUGACUUGUCUCUGUGGAGGCACAGGCUUGAUCCCUAGCCCGGCCCAGUGGGUUAAGGAUCUAGUGUUGCUGCAGCUGUGGUGCAGGUCUGCAGCUGUGGUGUUGGUCAUUAAGUCCAGCUCAGAGUCGAUCCCUGGCCUGGGAACCUCCAUAUGCUGCUGAUGCAGCCGGAAAAAUCAAAAAUUUUUAAAAAGAGAAAAGAAGUGUCUUAGCUCUUUAAUUCCAUUCAUUACUAGAUGUAUAUCUGCUACAGACAAGGACAGGGAGGAAACCUGGAGAUGCAAAAACAGUUUAUAAAUUAGGUCAGGGCAGUAAGCCAAUUUUUUUUUUUUAACAUUAUUAUGCUGUUUAUGCAACUAUUUUUUUUUUUUUAAGGCAGCUAUCUCUGGAAAGAGGAAAAAAUGAGAAAAGUACCAAGAAAACCAUGCAGGUAGCUGUCCUGGUCACCCCCAAGGCCUGGAGUCCCCUACUCUCCACAGCAGGUGGGGCUGAAGCUUGAAAUAUGCAUGACACUUCCAGUGAGACUGAAAACACAAUUGUUUACUUCAAAGAACUAGAUGGAGGCAUGGCUGAUGCCAACCCUUUGGUGACACCAAUACCUGACACUAAGUGAGAGAAAC
This 3930-nucleotide long non-coding RNA is filed under the name Sus scrofa (pig). RNAcentral describes it as "lncRNA (ENSSSCG00005031216.1)". Lineage: Eukaryota; Metazoa; Chordata; Mammalia; Artiodactyla; Suidae. The record is from RNAcentral.